This is a long non-coding RNA of Cyanistes caeruleus (blue tit), 997 nucleotides long. RefSeq lists it as uncharacterized. The record is from RefSeq and is a predicted model, not a curated record. NCBI's taxonomy places the organism in Eukaryota, Metazoa, Chordata, Aves, Passeriformes, Paridae.
CUAGGGACCAGAGAGACAUCAGUGCCUCAAGCCAGAGAGACAUUAUAAAUUCAAGCAGCAUGGCUACUGACUGCUUUGUCCCCAUAUGGGCAGACACCUGCCUUCUCAAACCAAGACAGCUCUCCAGGAUAUCUACCAGCCUACCUCAGCAUGCUCCACCCUACAGGUGACAUUAAAAAAUCUAAAACCAAUUGUCACAUCAGCCUCAGAUGGGAGGGGAGUAACAAAAUGUGCUAAAAUGCUCAAUAAUCAUGGCUUGUGAAGAGAGGACACAAUUUCCCCUUAAACUCGCAGCUUUCCCAGGUUAAGCCAGCGGUUCUCAAGAGUUUGUAUUCUCUGGAGUGGUUAUGAGUCCCAGUUGGAGAGGAGGAGCUUGCAGGGAGAACUGAAUCAGAAAUAAGAGAAGUCAGGGCACAAGCAGAGGUGGGAAUUCCUGUUUGAAAGUCCUCUACAAAGCUCUCUUCAUACCCUGUUUAGGGAAAACUGGGAAAAGAUGGAUCACAUUGGCAGCUCCAGAGCUAUUCCCUUGAUCCCCUCUUGCCUAAUCUUCUUUUAUAGAAGAAGCAUUUCUUUGCUGUGUACUUUUGCAUCUAGGGCUGGAUGUUAUCUGCUGCUUCCCUGAAAGGAGCAAGUCACCUCUGAGACUGCAGUGCAGGCAGCUGCAGAAAUUUGUAUCAUCAGGGCACCUGUGGCAAGAGAAGUAGAUGUGUGUGUGGCCCUCUACUGGCUCUGGACAGGCUCUGGGUUAAUUCAGCUUCCUUUGCUGUGGUAUCCAUUCCAUAGGUAGGGCAUGAGUCCAGAAAUCCAAUUUAUUGCUGUUCCACAGCACAUUUCAUAGCCAAAUAACCCUGGGAGUUAUGAAGUGGGACCUGUGGGCUCAGUUCUUAAUGAACACCAUUUGUCCUUAACUGAGGGAGGUGGGGAAAAUUGAAAAUUGGUUGGAAUGCAUUCCCUUGAGACCUGGUGCUUAUUCUGUCGUGUGACCUACAGUGUAUCA